UGAUAAAAUCAUAAUCUACGACAUAAUAAUAACAAUACAUUCAUCAUUAAUAUCGGGUACAAUUUUUUUUUCUACUGUUCACUUGAACGUUUUUUAGCACUGACCGUUUCAUUCGGAUAGUAAUGCAUCACCGUUCUCCUAUUAAUUCAUGACAUUUAUGCGGAAUACCAUUCAAAUUCAAAUGACUCAUUGGGUAUGGCCAAAAUCACUAGGAAAUGGGAAAUGUUCCCAGGUCGAAAUCGAUUCUGCUGUGACGGCCGGCUCAUGAUGGCACCGCACGCGGCAGUGUUUUACAUUAAUGUGGUCCUGAUCAUUGGCACGAGUUUGUUGUUCUUUGUCUUUGACUGCCCAUACCUUAGCCGCCGUGUGACUCCUGUUAUUCCGAUCAUAUCGGGUGUGUUGUUCCUUUUUGUUAUUGGUUCAUUAUUCAAGACCAGUUUCACAGACCCUGGUAUAAUUCCUAGAGCAACUGCUGAUGAAGCCGCUUACAUAGAGAAACAAGUUUAUAUAAGUAUACCUAAUAAUGGAGGAACACCUACUAUACGACCACCACCUAGGACCAAAGAGGUAGUUAUUAAAGGUCAUUCAAUCAAAUUGAAAUACUGCGUAACAUGCAAGAUUUUCAGACCGCCUAGAGCUUCUCACUGUAGCUUGUGCAAUAAUUGUGUUGAAAAUUUUGAUCACCACUGUCCAUGGGUAGGAAAUUGUGUUGGUCGUCGGAACUACAGGUUUUUCUAUAUGUUUAUUAUUUGUUUAUCAUUACUUAUUAUCAUCGUGUUCAUUGGAGCUAUUCUGCACUUAUUCUACUUAUCUGAAAAUAGAGUAAUGGUAGAAGCAAUAUCUGAGUCACCAACUAGUGUAAUAGUAGUAAUUAUUACUUUCUUCAGUUGUUGGAGUGUGAUUGGGUUAGCUGGAUUUCAUACGUUUCUUGCUGCAUCUAAUCAAACAACUAAUGAAGACAUUAAAGGAUCUUUUGCCAGUCGCACCGGGCGGCCAAAUUCCAAUCCUUAUAGUAGAGGUAACAUUUGUGCCAAUUAUUGUUAUGUUUUGUGUUCUCCUCGUCCUCCAAGUCUUUUAGAUAGGCGUGGUGUUGUUUUAUCAUUGAAUGAAUCUAAGUCUAUGAACAAAAGUCAAAGCAGAGAUACAGUAAUAUCUAAUAAAGGGUUUGAAGCUUCUGAUGUACCAGUUAAUCAAAAUGGAAAACCUAACACUGAUGACAUCCAAUUAAAUCAGUAUGGUUCAUCAAGUAUGUUGCAACCCGAUAGUCUUGAUUGCAAUCAACAACAUACAUUCACAACAUCAAUGCCAAGUAUUCAUCAUUCUCAAAACAAUCAUGUGCAUCAAAGUCAUAUUAUAAAUGGUUUGUAUCAAAAACCACCUACCUCUCACUCAUCAAUAAUAUUAGAAUCACAUAAUUGUCCCCCUGACUAUUUUUUAGUACCUACUAACCCAAAUUACUUUUAUGCAAGUCUACCAUUACGCAGAGACCGUGCUGCAAUGUAUUAUUCAGCUGUUUCUCGUGUACCUAGUUAUCGUUGUAGGAAUAAUCAAAAACUUUAUUAUAGUCAUUGUCGUGAACAUGGAGGUACUCCUGCCAAUAGAAUGCAUUCAGCAAAUAAAAAUAGUGUUAUAAAUAAUACUAAUUAAUUAAUAGAAAGUUCAUAAAUUAGGAAAUAGUUAUAAAAGAAAUUUGACUAAAUUAUAAUUUUUAAUAUAUUAUGUUUUAUUUCUUUUUAAAUGCCAUUCCUACCAUGUAAGUUGAUUAGGAUUUAAAUUUUAUUGAUGUGAAAUUUAACAAAAGUGUAACAUCAUUAACUAACACAUUUAAUGAUACUGGCAUUUAUGAGACUAUCGAACCUGGGCGAUUAG
Molecule: RNA transcript, 1869 nt
Organism: Sipha flava (yellow sugarcane aphid)
Lineage: Eukaryota; Metazoa; Arthropoda; Insecta; Hemiptera; Aphididae
Gene: app
Gene name: palmitoyltransferase ZDHHC18
Exons: 9
Source: RefSeq, a predicted model, not a curated record